AGAGUUUGAUUCUGGCUCAGAACGAACGCUGGCGGCGUGGAUAAGACAUGCAAGUUGAGCGAUGAACUGACGAUAGCAAUAUCUGACGGGAUUAGCAGCGAACGGGUGAGUAACACGUAGGAAUCUGCCCCAAAGUUCGGAAUAGCCUGGCGAAAGUCAGGGUAAUACCGGAUGUGAUCUUCGGAUUAAAGGCUUCGGUCGCUUUGGGAUGAGCCUGCGUUCCAUCAGCUUGUUGGUAGGGUAAAAGCCUACCAAGGCGAAGACGGAUAGCUGGUCUGAGAGGACGGUCAGCCACAAUGGAACUGAGACACGGUCCAUACACCUACGGGUGGCAGCAGUCGAGAAUCAUUCGCAAUGGACGAAAGUCUGACGGUGCGACGCCGCGUGGGGGAUGAAGGCCUUAGGGUCGUAAACCCCUGUCGGGUGCGAGUAAGGUCCUACUUACGUAGGAAUUGAUAUUAGCAUCAAAGGAAGGGACGGCUAACUCCGUGCCAGCAGCCGCGGUAAUACGGAGGUCCCAAGCGUUGUUCGGAUUCACUGGGCGUAAAGCGUGCGUAGGCGGAGAAAUAAGUUUGGCGUGAAAGCCCCGGGCCCAACCCGGAAAUUGCGUUGAAAACUAUUUCCCUAGAGGAUUGGAGGGGAGACUGGAAUUCCUGGUGUAGCAGUGAAAUGCGUAGAUAUCAGGAGGAACACCGGUGGCGAAGGCGAGUCUCUGGACAAUUCCUGACGCUGAGGUACGAAGGCUAGGGUAGCGAAAAGGAUUAGAUACCCUUGUAGUCCUAGCAGUAAACGGUGUGCACUUGCUGUAGGCGGAUUCGACCCCGCCUGUGGCGAAGCUAACGCGUUAAGUGCACCGCCUGGGGAGUACGGUCGCAAGAUUAAAACUCAAAGAAAUUGAC
Molecule: ribosomal RNA, 899 nt
Filed under: marine metagenome
Description: bacterial SSU rRNA
Rfam family: Bacterial small subunit ribosomal RNA
Source: RNAcentral